GACGAACGCUGGCGGCGUGCUUAACACAUGCAAGUCGAACGGAAAGGCCCUGCUUUUGUGGGGUGCUCGAGUGGCGAACGGGUGAGUAACACGUGAGUAACCUGCCCUUGACUUUGGGAUAACUUCAGGAAACUGGGGCUAAUACCGGAUAGGAGCUCCUGCUGCAUGGUGGGGGUUGGAAAGUUUCGGCGGUUGGGGAUGGACUCGCGGCUUAUCAGCUUGUUGGUGGGGUAGUGGCUUACCAGGGCUUUGACGGGUAGCCGGCCUGAGAGGGUGACCGGCCACAUUGGGACUGAGAUACGGCCCAGACUCCUACGGGAGGCAGCAGUGGGGAAUAUUGCACAAUGGGCGGAAGCCUGAUGCAACAACGCCGCGUGCGGGAUGACGGCCUUCGGGUUGUAAACCGCUUUCGCCUGUGACGAAGCGUGAGUGACGGUAAUGGGUAAAGAAGCACCGGCUAACUACGUGCCAGCAGCCGCGGUGAUACGUAGGGUGCGAGCGUUGUCCGGAUUUAUUGGGCGUAAAGGGCUCGUAGGUGGUUGAUCGCGUCGGAAGUGUAAUCUUGGGGCUUAACCCUGAGCGUGCUUUCGAUACGGGUUGACUUGAGGAAGGUAGGGGAGAAUGGAAUUCCUGGUGGAGCGGUGGAAUGCGCAGAUAUCAGGAGGAACACCAGUGGCGAAGGCGGUUCUCUGGGCCUUUCCUGACGCUGAGGAGCGAAAGCGUGGGGAGCGAACAGGCUUAGAUACCCUGGUAGUCCACGCUGUAAACGGUGGGUACUAGGUGUGGGGUCCAUUCCACGGGUUCCGUGCCGUAGCUAACGCUUUAAGUACCCCGCCUGGGGAGUACGGCCGCAAGGCUAAAACUCAAAGGAAUUGACGGGGCCCCGCACAAGCGGCGGAGCAUGCGGAUUAAUUCGAUGCAACGCGUAGAACCUUACCUGGGUUUGACAUGGAUCGGGAGUGCUCAGAGAUGGGUGUGCCUCUUUUGGGGUCGGUUCACAGGUGGUGCAUGGCUGUCGUCAGCUCGUGUCGUGAGAUGUUGGGUUAAGUCCCGCAACGAGCGCAACCCUUGUUCACUGUUGCCAGCACGUUAUGGUGGGGACUCAGUGGAGACCGCCGGGGUCAACUCGGAGGAAGGUGGGGAUGACGUCAAGUCAUCAUGCCCCUUAUGUCCAGGGCUUCACGCAUGCUACAAUGGCUGGUACAGAGAGUGGCGAGCCUGUGAGGGUGAGCGAAUCUCGGAAAGCCGGUCUCAGUUCGGAUUGGGGUCUGCAACUCGACCUCAUGAAGUCGGAGUCGCUAGUAAUCGCAGAUCAGCAACGCUGCGGUGAAUACGUUCCCGGG
This 1343-nucleotide ribosomal RNA is filed under the name uncultured bacterium. RNAcentral's name for it is "16S ribosomal RNA". It matches the Rfam family "Bacterial small subunit ribosomal RNA", at positions 28 to 1378 of the family's 1533-position model. The record is from RNAcentral.